RNAcentral lists this long non-coding RNA (370 nucleotides) under Physcomitrium patens. RNAcentral's name for it is "long non-coding RNA (PPAT_LNC000016)". Lineage: Eukaryota; Viridiplantae; Streptophyta; Bryopsida; Funariales; Funariaceae. The record is from RNAcentral.
AGGUUUGUUUUGGAUGACUUGGAUUUUAUGAAAUAAAAUAGGAUUUACAUUUUGGAUGAUUUCAAGAGUUUUGUAAUAGAUCUAUGGAUGAAAUUUUGUAGGUUCAUGGUUGUAGUUGUGUUUAAUAUGUGUUGUGAAUUUGAACUCGAUCUAAUGGUUGAAUUGAAGAAUAUUGAGGUUUAAAAGGAUCAAGGUCUCAGAAAGUAGAACUUUAGGUCUAGUGAGGAUUUUUAAGAUUUCUUGCAAUCUACUAGUUGAAUUGGAGUGAAACUUAUAUGAGAGAAUAUUAGACUUGUUUUCCUAUGUAUAUGAGAAUUUUGAGAUCAAUCAAAUAAUGAAAAGUAGAGAUAUUGGCUUUGAAAGAUAAGCA